This 460-nucleotide ribosomal RNA is filed under the name uncultured bacterium. RNAcentral describes it as "partial 16S ribosomal RNA". It matches the Rfam family "Bacterial small subunit ribosomal RNA", at positions 338 to 795 of the family's 1533-position model. The record is from RNAcentral.
CCUACGGGGUGCUGCAGUGAGGAAUAUUGGUCAAUGGACGAGAGUCUGAACCAGCCAAGUAGCGUGAAGGAUGACUGCCCUAUGGGUUGUAAACUUCUUUUAUAAAGGAAUAAAACGAGGCACGUGUGCCUUUUUGCAUGUACUUUAUGAAUAAGGAUCGGCUAACUCCGUGCCAGCAGCCGCGGUAAUACGGAGGAUCCGAGCGUUAUCCGGAUUUAUUGGGUUUAAGGGGAGCGUAGAUGGGUUGUUAAGUCAGUUGUGAAAGUUUGCGGCUCAACCGUAAAAUUGCAAUUGAUACUGGAAGUCUUGAGUACAGUUGAGGUAGGCGGAAUUCGUGGUGUAGCGGUGAAAUGCUUAGAUAUCACGAAGAACCCCGAUUGCGAAGGCAGCUUACUAAACUGUGACUGACAUUGAUGCUCGAAAGUGUGGGUAUCAAACAGGAUUAGAUACCCUAGUAGUC